This 1406-nucleotide long non-coding RNA is filed under the name Cricetulus griseus (Chinese hamster). Its description in RNAcentral is "lncRNA (ENSCGRG00015035574.1)". Lineage: Eukaryota; Metazoa; Chordata; Mammalia; Rodentia; Cricetidae. The record is from RNAcentral.
AGGACACCUGCCCAGGCCUGAGGGCAUUAAAACACCCACUCCUCCCCCUUCCUUACUUCCUCUUUCUUUACUUCCUCCUUUCUCUUUAAAAACUCCUUGCUUAAGUUCAAUAAACAGACCUUGACAAUCCAUUGCUUGGUCUCACUCUUUCUCACCCAUUUAUUUUCAGGCUUAGUCCCCCACUCAACCCACGAAUUACCAGAACCCCACGAAUUACCAGAACCCCACGGGCCCGGGCAGAUGGCACGAAACAUAGGGGCCCAAGGUAUGGACUCUUCGCCAAACGGAGACCUCCCCAAGGAAACCCUCGGCAGUGAACGCUGACAAGGAAGUCCUCCUGCUCGCCCAUUGCAAUGGACGUUGGUCUGAGAACAUUCUCACCUCUCAUUAGCAACUGAUUCCCUGAUAAAAGAUGCUGUCUUUUUGGCUACUUGUGUAUUUCUCCCUUCGAUUGCCGUUGCUGCUGCAAGCCCCUAUCAGAUCUACAACUACACCUGGAUGAUCAUCAACCAAGCUGGUGAUGUUGCCAAUGCCUCGACAUACAUUGGAACUCAGCCCUCUUAUUCCCCUCUGAUAGUAGAUCUUUGUGCCUUGGCUAUGGGAGCCAACCCUCUCUGGGGAACUCCCUCCCAUUUUAUGCCACAAGAGAACAAGCACAAUCAUGUUUCAGAUUGAUACCAUCCUUGGAAAAGCAAUUUCAUUAUCAUCAACUGGAGGUACGAGAUCCUGAGCUGCCUGACCAUAAUGAAAACCACGACAAUCCUCCUAAAGGCCUAGUUUUUUUUGGGCCUUGAACAUCGAACCUCUUGAUUUCCCUGGCCUUGGAGAUGUCAAUGACAGGAUUAUCGUGAUGCCACAGGCCAGACGCCAAUCCAUCUCACCAGCUGUAGUGCUCCUCAAUGACAGGAUUAUCGUGAGGCCUCGACCCCAGAGGCCCACUCUGAGCACUCUUGAGCUGCUUGCCUUAUGAAAGGUCCCCUGAGUGCUGGGGGGCGGAUUCACCUCUCGUAGCCUAAGACAGAGGCUCUACCCCUCACAGUCAUAUAAAUGACAAUAUCAUAAACAUAGGGUACUGGCUGCGGAUGCCCAUCAUGUAGCCUAAGACAGACGCUCCAUUCUAUUAUACAUAGAAAGGGGAGAUGUCAGGAGCCAGCCUUGGUCAGAUAUAAAAGUCUCCUUUACAAGAGGCUUGGCGACCUCCAUGCUAAACCGACAAUUUAGUCAAGCACCCCACCCCUUAGGUUAUUGUUCCGAGAUAAACCACAGAAAUGUUCCAGGACACCUGCCCAGGCCUGAGGGCAUUAAAACACCCACUCCUCCCCCUUCCUUACUUCCUCUUUCUUUACUUCCUCCUUUCUCUUUAAAAACUCCUUGCUUAAGUUCAAUAAACAGACCUUGACAAUCCA